GAUGAACGCUGGCGGCGUGCCUAAUACAUGCGAGUCGAGCGAACAGACGAGGAGCUUGCUCCUCUGACGUUAGCGGCGGACGGGUGAGUAACACGUGGAUAACCUACCUAUAAGACUGGGAUAACUUCGGGAAACCGGAGCUAAUACCGGAUAAUAUAUUGAACCGCAUGGUUCAAUAGUGAAAGACGGUUUUGCUGUCACUUAUAGAUGGAUCCGCGCCGCAUUAGCUAGUUGGUAAGGUAACGGCUUACCAAGGCAACGAUGCGUAGCCGACCUGAGAGAGUGGUCGGCCACACUGGAACUGAGACACGGUCCAGACUCCUGCGGGAGGCAGCAGUAGGGAAUCUUCCGCAAUGGGCGAAAGCCUGACGGAGCAACGCCGCGUGAGUGAUGAAGGUCUUCGGAUCGUAAAACUCUGUUAUUAGGGAAGAACAAAUGUGUAAGUAACUGUGCACGUCUUGACGGUACCUAAUCAGAAAGCCACGGCUAACUACGUG
RNAcentral lists this ribosomal RNA (497 nucleotides) under uncultured bacterium. RNAcentral describes it as "partial 16S ribosomal RNA". It matches the Rfam family "Bacterial small subunit ribosomal RNA", at positions 28 to 507 of the family's 1533-position model. The record is from RNAcentral.